GUAAGAUCUCCACCACCAGAGAUAGUCCUCACUGCAUAACUGGAAGUAGCAGAGCACGAUGGUUAUUUCAGCGCAUGUGACAAUGAGGAUUGCGAAAACGAGGAACAGGAAACCAAAGAUGUAGUAGAAUUGAUUCAGCCAGAUCGAGGUGAGAAUGAAGAACAGCUCGAUGAAAACAGCUCCAAAUGGAAGAAUUCCUCCUAUUAGAAUUGAGAAGGCUGGGUUCAUGUACCAUGCUUGCUCUGGGAUUUGUCUUGGUAUUUUAUUUGUCUUCACAGGGUCCUCAAUUGCUGGCUUCUUGGAUCCAAUAUAACUUCCAACAAACACUAGCGGAACUGAAAUUCCAAACCAUAAGAAUACCAGAGCAAACAUCGUUCCAAAUGGCACAGCGCCAGAUGAUUUCUGGCCCCAGAUGAGAGCAUUCAAGACAAAGAAAAUGGCAGAGACGAUCCCUGGGAACAUGACUGCAGUCCUGAGAGCAAUUUUCUUCCAUUCUGAUCCUUUGAACAUUUUAUAUAACCGGGAUGAGGCAUAGCCAGCAAAAAUGCCCAUGAAAACCCAAAGCAAGAGCAUGGCUGUCAUAAGACCACCUCUGUUUGAAGGGGAAAGGAAUCCAAGAAUCGCAAAAAUCAUGGUAACAAGGAUCAUUCCAAAAAACUGAACACCGGUUCCAACAUAGACACACAACAAGUCCGAAUUUGAUGGGGGCCUGAAAACAUCUCCAUGAACAAGCUUCCAUCCAGUCUCUUCU
RNAcentral lists this long non-coding RNA (751 nucleotides) under Populus trichocarpa (black cottonwood). RNAcentral's name for it is "long non-coding RNA (PTRI_LNC003945)". Lineage: Eukaryota; Viridiplantae; Streptophyta; Magnoliopsida; Malpighiales; Salicaceae. The record is from RNAcentral.